CGCGGUAUAAUGACCGUGCGAAGGUAGCAUAAUCAUUAGUCUUUUAAUUGGAGGCUCGUAUGAAUGGCUGGACGAGAGGUAAGCUGUCUCUAUUAGGAAAAUUGAAUUUAACUUUUAAGUGAAAAGGCUUAAAUAAUCUAAAGGGACGAUAAGACCCUAUAAAGCUUUACAUUUAAUUUCUAGGGGUGUUAAUUAAGUAAUAAAAAAUUUGUUAGAUAUAAUAUGUUUUGUUGGGGCGACAGGAAUAAAAGGAAUUUAACUGUUCUAAAUAGUAAAUCAGAAAUAUUUGAUUUUUAAUGAUUUUUUAUUAAAGUAUUAGAUUAAGUUACUUUAGGGAUAACAGCGUUAUUUUUUUUGAGAGUUCUUAUCGACAAAAAAGUUUGCGACCUCGAUGUUGAAUUAAAGGUGCUCUGUAGCGCAGAAGCUAUAGUAGAAAGU
RNAcentral lists this ribosomal RNA (438 nucleotides) under Parastacus nicoleti. Its description in RNAcentral is "partial 16S ribosomal RNA". It matches the Rfam family "Archaeal large subunit ribosomal RNA", at positions 2009 to 2645 of the family's 2987-position model. The record is from RNAcentral. Lineage: Eukaryota; Metazoa; Arthropoda; Malacostraca; Decapoda; Parastacidae.